AACGAACGCUGGCGGCAUGCCUAACACAUGCAAGUCGAACGAGACCAUCGGGUAUCUUGGUGCACGGGUGCGUAACGCGGGGGAAGCUGCUCUUAGGUUCGGAAUAACUCCCCGAAAGGGGUGCUAAUACCGGAUAAUGUCUUCGGACCAAAGAUGGAUUGCCUUUGGAUGGGCCCGAGUGGGGUUAGCAAGUUGGUAGGGUAAAAGCGUAUCAAGGCGACGAUCCAUAGCUGGUCUGAGAGGAUGAGCCGCCACACUGGGGCUGAGACACGGCCCAGACUCUUACGGGAGGCGGGAGAGGGGAAUGGAGGAAAACGGCGGGUAUGAUGAAGCAGUACUGCCUGGAGAGUAAUGUAGGCCGUAGGGAAGGAAAGAUCUUUUACCCCUGAGCAUAAUGACAGUACCCGGAGAAGAAGCACCGGCUAACUCCGUG
RNAcentral lists this ribosomal RNA (433 nucleotides) under uncultured bacterium. RNAcentral describes it as "partial 16S ribosomal RNA". It matches the Rfam family "Bacterial small subunit ribosomal RNA", at positions 29 to 507 of the family's 1533-position model. The record is from RNAcentral.